Molecule: transfer RNA, 73 nt
Filed under: Melanopsichium pennsylvanicum
Lineage: Eukaryota; Fungi; Basidiomycota; Ustilaginomycetes; Ustilaginales
Description: transfer RNA-Undet(???)
Rfam family: tRNA
About the family: Transfer RNA (tRNA) molecules are approximately 80 nucleotides in length. Their secondary structure includes four short double-helical elements and three loops (D, anti-codon, and T loops). Further hydrogen bonds mediate the characteristic L-shaped molecular structure. tRNAs have two regions of fundamental functional importance: the anti-codon, which is responsible for specific mRNA codon recognition, and the 3' end, to which the tRNAs corresponding amino acid is attached (by aminoacyl-tRNA synthetases). tRNAs cope with the degeneracy of the genetic code in two manners: having more than one tRNA (with a specific anti-codon) for a particular amino acid; and 'wobble' base-pairing, i.e. permitting non-standard base-pairing at the 3rd anti-codon position.
Source: RNAcentral
CAGAUUGAUGGCCUAAUGGUUCAGGGCGAUCACUUUGGAGUGAUAGUCGAAAGUUCAAGUCUUUCCAGUCUGA